Molecule: ribosomal RNA, 445 nt
Filed under: uncultured bacterium
Lineage: Bacteria
Description: bacterial SSU rRNA
Rfam family: Bacterial small subunit ribosomal RNA
Source: RNAcentral
GUGGGGAAUAUUGGACAAUGGGCGAAAGCCUGAUCCAGCAAUGCCGCGUGAGUGAUGAAGGCCUUCGGGUUGUAAAGCUCUGUCGGGAGGGACGAAAAAGCAGCCUAACAAACUGUGUUGACGGUACCUUCAAAGGAAGCACCGGCUAACUCUGUGCCAGCAGCCGCGGUAAUACAGAGGGUGCAAGCGUUGUUCGGAAUUACUGGGCGUAAAGCGCGUGUAGGCGGCGGCGUAAGUCGGAUGUGAAAUCCCUCGGCUCAACCGAGGAAGUGCAUCCGAUACUGCGUUGCUUGAGUGUCGGAGGGGGUGGCGGAAUUCCCGGUGUAGAGGUGAAAUUCGUAGAUAUCGGGAGGAACACCUGUGGCGAAGGCGGCCACCUGGACGACGACUGACGCUGAGACGCGAAAGCGUGGGUAGCAAACAGGAUUAGAAACCCCUGUAGUCC